UACGAAGGGGGCUAGCGUUGCUCGGAAUCACUGGGCGUAAAGCGCACGUAGGCGGAUUGCUAAGUCAGGGGUGAAAUCCUGGAGCUCAACUCCAGAACUGCCUUUGAUACUGGCGACCUUGAGUCCGGGAGAGGUGAGUGGAACUGCGAGUGUAGAGGUGAAAUUCGUAGAUAUUCGCAAGAACACCCGUGGCGAAGGCGGCUCUCUGGGACGGUACUGACGCUGAGACGCGAAAGCGUGGGGAGCGAACAGG
Molecule: ribosomal RNA, 253 nt
Filed under: uncultured bacterium
Lineage: Bacteria
Description: partial 16S ribosomal RNA
Rfam family: Bacterial small subunit ribosomal RNA
Source: RNAcentral